AAUGUCUGCCAAUGUUUUGACC
This 22-nucleotide unclassified non-coding RNA is filed under the name Mus musculus (house mouse). RNAcentral's name for it is "oocyte_clustered_small_RNA5175". The record is from RNAcentral. Lineage: Eukaryota; Metazoa; Chordata; Mammalia; Rodentia; Muridae.